This 459-nucleotide ribosomal RNA is filed under the name uncultured bacterium. RNAcentral describes it as "partial 16S ribosomal RNA". It matches the Rfam family "Bacterial small subunit ribosomal RNA", at positions 338 to 795 of the family's 1533-position model. The record is from RNAcentral.
CCUACGGGUGGCUGCAGUGAGGAAUAUUGGUCAAUGGGCGAGAGCCUGAACCAGCCAAGUCGCGUGAGGGACGACGGUCCUAUGGAUUGUAAACCUCUUUUGUCGGGGAACAAAGGCGCCCACGGGUGGGCGGAUGAGUGUACCCGAAGAAAAAGCAUCGGCUAACUCCGUGCCAGCAGCCGCGGUAAUACGGAGGAUGCAAGCGUUAUCCGGAUUUAUUGGGUUUAAAGGGUGCGUAGGCGGACAGUCAAGUCAGCGGUAAAAAUGCGGUGCUCAACGCCGUACAGCCGUUGAAACUGGCAGUCUUGAGUGGGCGAGAAGUAUGCGGAAUGCGUGGUGUAGCGGUGAAAUGCUUAGAUAUCACGAAGAACUCCGAUUGCGAAGGCAGCUCACUGGACUGCAACUGACACUGAGGCUCGAAAGUGUGGGUAUCAAACAGGAUUAGAUACCCGAGUAGUC